RNAcentral lists this ribosomal RNA (503 nucleotides) under uncultured bacterium. RNAcentral's name for it is "partial 16S ribosomal RNA". It matches the Rfam family "Bacterial small subunit ribosomal RNA", at positions 29 to 507 of the family's 1533-position model. The record is from RNAcentral.
AACGAACGCUGGCGGCGUGCCUAACACAUGCAAGUCGAACGAGGAAGGGGCUUCGGCUCCGAGUAAAGUGGCGCACGGGUGAGUAACACGUGGGUAACCUGCCUCUAAGAUUGGGAUAACUCGUCGAAAGAUGAGCUAAUACCGAAUAAGACCACAGUUCCCGCGGGAACAGGGGUCAAAGGUAGCCUCUGCUUGCAAGCUAUCACUUAGAGAUGGGCCUGCGCACCAUUAGCUAGUUGGUAGGGUAACGGCCUACCAAGGCAAAGAUGGUUAGCUGGUCUGAGAGGAUGAUCAGCCACACUGGAACUGAGACACGGUCCAGACUCCUACGGGAGGCAGCAGUGGGGAAUAUUGCGCAAUGGGCGAAAGCUUGACGCAGCAACGCCGCGUGAGUGAUGAAGGCCUUCGGGUCGUAAAGCUCUGUCGGGAGGAACGAAUGCUCCUGAGGUUAACAGCCUCGGGAGGUGACGGUACCUUCAAAGGAAGCACCGGCUAACUCUGUG